UACGUAGGUGACCAGCGUUGUCCGGAUUUACUGGGCGUAAAGAGCGCGCAGGCGGUCGUUCAAGUCGAGUGUGAAAGCCCCCGGCUCAACUGGGGAGGGUCAUUCGAUACUGAUCGGCUUGAGGGCAGGAGAGGCUCGCGGAAUUCCCAGUGUAGAGGUGAAAUUCGUAGAUAUUGGGAAGAACACCGGUGGCGAAGGCGGCGAGCUGGCCUGUUACUGACGCUGAGGCGCGACAGCGUGGGGAGCAAACAGG
Molecule: ribosomal RNA, 253 nt
Filed under: uncultured bacterium
Lineage: Bacteria
Description: partial 16S ribosomal RNA
Rfam family: Bacterial small subunit ribosomal RNA
Source: RNAcentral